AUCAAGAAGGAUUCUUUGGGAGUGUGAGAAGAUGGCAAGCCAAUUAAUCUCACUUGUGAAUGAGCGGAAGACUGUUCUAGCUGUGUGCACCGGGAUGAAAACAUGUGAAGAACUUGGCAAGGCUAUUAGGAGUCACCACCAAGUUGGAUUUGCUUAUCUACCUUGCAGGUGAUCUGGUAAGUUCAGACUGAUAAAAAUCAAUAUCGCCAAGGCUGUAGUGCAUAUGAACCCUGUCAUUUGGUGAUUAAGGAUUUGUUUUUGGUAUCCAUGUAAAAAUCUUCUGACCAGCUAGUUAGGGCCAGAUGUUCGAUUGAUCAAGAUUUUUCAUUGAUGUGCUAAUUGUGUUGCUGUUCAUAUUCUCUCUAGUUUAGAGCUUCAACUCGUACCCAUCUUGUACAUGCAUUGCAGUGCCUUAAGCAAUUUAUCAUUUUAUCCAUA
Non-coding RNA from Coffea arabica (coffee), 438 nucleotides. The record is from RefSeq and is a predicted model, not a curated record. Lineage: Eukaryota; Viridiplantae; Streptophyta; Magnoliopsida; Gentianales; Rubiaceae.